AAUAGAUACCCCGGUAGUCCACGCCGUAAACGAUGUCGACUUGGAGGUUGUGCCCUUGAGGCGUGGCUUCCGGAGCUAACGCGUUAAGUCGACCGCCUGGGGAGUACGGCCGCAAGGUUAAAACUCAAAUGAAUUGACGGGGGGCCCGCACAAGCGGUGGAGCAUGUGGUUUAAUUCGAUGCAACGCGAAGAACCUUACCUACUCUUGACAUCCAGAGAACUUAGCAGAGAUGCUUUGGUGCCUUCGGGAACUCUGAGACAGGUGCUGCAUGGCUGUCGUCAGCUCGUGUUGUGAAAUGUUGGGUUAAGUCCCGCAACGAGCGCAACCCUUAUCCUUUGUUGCCAGCGGUUAGGCCGGGAACUCAAAGGAGACUGCCAGUGAUAAACUGGAGGAAGGUGGGGAUGACGUCAAGUCAUCAUGGCCCUUACGAGUAGGGCUACACACGUGCUACAAUGGCAUAUGCAAAGAGAAGCGACCUCGCGAGAGCAAGCGGACCUCAUAAAGUAUGUCGUAGUCCGGAUUGGAGU
RNAcentral lists this ribosomal RNA (528 nucleotides) under uncultured bacterium. RNAcentral describes it as "bacterial SSU rRNA". It matches the Rfam family "Bacterial small subunit ribosomal RNA", at positions 777 to 1304 of the family's 1533-position model. The record is from RNAcentral.